Molecule: unclassified non-coding RNA, 381 nt
Filed under: fungal sp.
Lineage: Eukaryota; Fungi
Description: partial internal transcribed spacer region
Rfam family: Eukaryotic small subunit ribosomal RNA (bases 1-46)
Source: RNAcentral
AAGUCGUAACAAGGUUUCCGUAGGUGAACCUGCGGAAGGAUCAUUAACACGUAUCCAACGUUAAAACAACCGUGAACUUUCAGCUUGCUCCUGUAGCCCGUGAAAACAGCAAUCCCUGGUAAAUCAUUGUUGACCAGCUUUUGAGUCAGGGACCUCUGCCGAUUGUGAUAUUUUAUAGCUACGGUUGAGCGAUUGCAUCUAGUGAUGUUCGGUUUUUGGUGCCGUGCGAAUUUCACGCGCGGCCAAUUCGUACUGUGUUGUCGUAAAGGGGCCGGCCUUGUGGGCCUACAGCGAUCGUGACUGCGCCAUCCUGACAUAAUCAAUGACACUUUCAGACACUGAUUACCUGGGUAUGCCAGGUCAAUGGAUAUCUUGGUUCUC